RNAcentral lists this long non-coding RNA (273 nucleotides) under Hordeum vulgare. RNAcentral's name for it is "long non-coding RNA (HVUL_LNC004226)". The record is from RNAcentral. Lineage: Eukaryota; Viridiplantae; Streptophyta; Magnoliopsida; Poales; Poaceae.
CGGGAUGAUCAAAAUGGUUGCUUGCCUUGUUGCUCAGAGGAGGGACAAUAUCCGUCAGUCGGAUAUUCGGUGGAAUCCGGAGGAGCGGAGCCUACCGAAAAGAGUGACAACAAUCAAUAACAAGCAUAUGCAACAAAAUGAUGCAUGAGCAUGGCAUGAGGAUGCAAAGUGGUAUACUAUUAUGGCUAACAUUUAUUAGGUUUGAAGUUGAUUUGAAUCAAAUUCAAAUAUCACUUCAAACGAGGUAUUCUCGGAUACCAUUUUAAUUGAUUC